This 492-nucleotide ribosomal RNA is filed under the name uncultured bacterium. RNAcentral describes it as "partial 16S ribosomal RNA". It matches the Rfam family "Bacterial small subunit ribosomal RNA", at positions 29 to 507 of the family's 1533-position model. The record is from RNAcentral.
AGUGAACGCUGGCGGUAGGCCUAACACAUGCGAGUCGAACGGCAGCACAGUAAGAGCUUGCUCUUACGGGUGGCGAGUGGCGGACGGGUGAGGAAUACAUCGGAAUCUACUUUUUCGUGGGGGAUAACGUAGGGAAACUUACGCUAAUACCGCAUACGACCUACGGGUGAAAGCAGGGGAUCUUCGGACCUUGCGCGAUUGAAUGAGCCGAUGUCGGAUUAGCUAGUUGGCGGGGUAAAGGCCCACCAAGGCGACGAUCCGUAGCUGGUCUGAGAGGAUGAUCAGCCACGCUGGAACUGAGACACGGUCCAGACUCCUACGGGAGGCAGCAGUGGGGAAUAUUGGACAAUGGGCGCAAGCCUGAUCCAGCCAUACCGCGUGGGUGAAGAAGGCCUUCGGGUUGUAAAGCCCUUUUGUUGGGAAAGAAAAGCAGCAGGUUAAUACCCCGCUGUUCUGACGGUACCCAAAGAAUAAGCACCGGCUAACUUCGUG